UAGGGAAUCUUCCGCAAUGGGCGAAAGCCUGACGGAGCAACGCCGCGUGAGUGAUGAAGGUCUUCGGAUCGUAAAACUCUGUUAUUAGGGAAGAACAAAUGUGUAAGUAACUAUGCACGUCUUGACGGUACCUAAUCAGAAAGCCACGGCUAACUACGUGCCAGCAGCCGCGGUAAUACGUAGGUGGCAAGCGUUACCCGGAAUUAUUGGGCGUAAAGCGCGCGUAGGCGGUUUUUUAAGUCUGAUGUGAAAGCCCACGGCUCAACCGUGGAGGGUCAUUGGAAACUGGAAAACUUGAGUGCAGAAGAGGAAAGUGGAAUUCCAUGUGUAGCGGUGAAAUGCGCAGAGAUAUGGAGGAACACCAGUGGCGAAGGCGACUUUCUGGUCUGUAACUGACGCUGAUGUGCGAAAGCGUGGGGAUCAAACAGG
RNAcentral lists this ribosomal RNA (429 nucleotides) under Actinomycetes bacterium. Its description in RNAcentral is "Actinobacteria bacterium partial 16S ribosomal RNA". It matches the Rfam family "Bacterial small subunit ribosomal RNA", at positions 355 to 776 of the family's 1533-position model. The record is from RNAcentral. Lineage: Bacteria; Bacillati; Actinomycetota; Actinomycetes.